Molecule: non-coding RNA, 680 nt
Organism: Macaca mulatta (Rhesus monkey)
Lineage: Eukaryota; Metazoa; Chordata; Mammalia; Primates; Cercopithecidae
Source: RefSeq, a predicted model, not a curated record
ACCACAGGAACACGUUUAAAUGUUACUCUAUGUUCACAUCACAUGGGGUGCCUUAAGUUUGGACGCUUAAGGUUUUAUUUACAUUUUCCAAGGACAUAAAUACAUUCCGUUGCUUUCCUCCAGAGGCUGCCUAGCCUACGAAGAGUUUGAGCUUGGAAGCGGUGCACACCAAAUAGGGACACGGUUGGACUAGAUUUUUGGGAUCCUGCACCCAAUAAAUAAGAAGAGGAGAUGAGCCUUGAGUCUCAUUAGAUGACAGAUUUUUGAGAAGCUCAAAUGUAUGGGAAGGUUCCACUUCUUCACUUCAAGGGACUGCAGAUGGUGUGAAGCAGGAGCACUGAAACAUAAGGAGUCGGGGAAAAGAUGGUUGGAGGCUCACUGGAAAUGACAGGCGGCUAUCAGUGAACGAACUCUUUAUCAAUGACUCCCAGAGACUGCUGCUAAUUUUGAUUUGAAAGCUGCAAAUCGCUGGAUGACAGUUUCAACUGGUGCAGCCUGGGUGUCAGCCCCCGCAUGCACGGAUUAGGAGUGACCUCAGCUGCUCCAUGUCUGGGCCAACCCCACCCUCCCUGCACUGCCGCCUUGUGAAAAGGAUGCGGAAUUUGGUCAGAACUGUUCAUGUCAGAGCUCAGCAGAACGGCAGAUGAAUCCUGGGAGAGCACUGCCUAUUCUGAGAAAGG